ACUCACUUCCCAUUUGCUGACUGCCUUCAUCAGAUCAGAAACGCCUGAACCAGAGUACAGUAUACAUACGUCUCAGCAGAGCACAAGGCAAAGGAAAUUUCAACCAAAAUCCAAUAAUCAGAAGAAUGGAUUCCAGCCAGUCUUUCAACCAGCCUUCAGGGGCCUUCAAUUCAUCUGAGAAAUCAGUGAUGUUGCAGCCUGUAGCACCACCACCAGUAUACCAGAACAAUCCUGCUGGAUAUUCUCCCUCCUUACCAAGCCAGGCAGUCCCCCAAGGCCCCUACGCCCAGGGGCCGUAUCCAGGACAGUCUGUGGUCGCUAUGCAGCCUGCAGUUUUUGUGCCCACCACUCCACUGGCCAAUCCAGUGCCGGAGUACACAUGCUAUUCCAUCUUCACCAUGCUGUGCUGCAGCUUUCAUCUGGGCACUGCUGCACUGGUUUACUCCCUCUCUACUCGAAAUGCCAACUACUCAGGACAGCGAGAAUUAGCAGAGAGGAACUCCAAAACUGCACGUACCCUGAAUCAUGUCGCUGUUGCUCUUGGCAUCGUUUGCACUGUAUUGCUUCUUGUCUACAUGUUUGUGUUGAGGAAAAAUAUGUAGCCUGUCCCUAACUGUUAAAGCUGUUAAACCUGUCGGAAGCAGAUUAUGUUACAAACAAAUUUGAUUCUCUUGAUUGUAAGCAUUAUUAGUUUAGUGUGUCAAUAUCCACCCAGUAAAACAAGCUUUAACUAUUGGAUGUUUUAAACAAUACAAGCGUUUACUGAGCAACCAAAUACACAAAAUAAUGUUCUUUUUAGCAACAUCAUAUGACCCCUUUAAUUUAACAUGAAAAAAACAGUACUUAUUCUUGUUUAUUAUAGAAUUGCCAACAAUUGCCUGUCAUCUUCUUUUAGCCAAAUGUAGGCAUAUCUGUUUUUGUUCUCUUUACAUCUAUAAUGUUUUUAGACCUUUUUGCUUAUCGUAAAUAUACUGUGUGUAGCUAAUUAUUUUACAUAGGCCUACUUUUGUAGGCUAUUAUAUUUUUACACAUUUGUAUGGACAUAAAUAUUCCAGUAGUCCACAUUGUUAAAAGGCACUAUAUAAAUAAAACUAUAUAAUAAUACAUCUCAUUAUAUUGCAUUUAUUUCAUUAUACAUUUCAUUUUAGAUCUAUCUAUCUAUCUAUCUAUCUAAUCUGAUUGUACAACCCACAUACAUGUGUGUAUGUUUUCAAGAGCCCCAUGCAACUGAGUUGUCAUUCUUGUUUUGUAAAGACAUUUUACAAAAGAAAACAUUGCAUAAAUCCUGUUUUAUAACAGUGUGUGAUUGUUGGGUGACAAUUAUUGCUAGCGUCAUAAAAGAAUCAAUUAAUCUGAGACAUAUGUAGUGUUUUGUACUUUUAGUGCAUUUUGAAUGUGAAAUUAACUGCUGUGCCAAGCUGAAAGUUGGUAAGGAGAACUGCAAAAGUGUUUUGCAAAAGUCACCUAUAUUGAGAAGUGUAUCCCAGAGAAUGUAAAUAAAAACUGUAAUUGAAGGGCAGGAAGAUCAGCCCAAAAACAUGCUCAGGAAUCAUAAAAUCAUUCCCAUCUGUGUCCUAAGACCUUUUUUUCCCCCUAAAUUCAUAAUGUUACAUGUUGAUUCCACCAGGUGGCGCCUGCAG
RNAcentral lists this long non-coding RNA (1640 nucleotides) under Sinocyclocheilus anshuiensis. RNAcentral describes it as "lncRNA (ENSSANG00000017121.1)". Lineage: Eukaryota; Metazoa; Chordata; Actinopteri; Cypriniformes; Cyprinidae. The record is from RNAcentral.